This is a long non-coding RNA of Herpailurus yagouaroundi (jaguarundi), 1023 nucleotides long. RefSeq lists it as uncharacterized. The record is from RefSeq and is a predicted model, not a curated record. The transcript is spliced from 2 exons. NCBI's taxonomy places the organism in Eukaryota, Metazoa, Chordata, Mammalia, Carnivora, Felidae.
AACGGGUCAGUUUCAUGCUGCUGUUGAGAAACAUCCCAAAGACUGUGUUGGUGUUUUAGUCUGUUUUCUACAUAAGGAGUGUUUCGUGAAAGACACGCCCAAACAGCACAAGACCAGAGCUUGGGAACCUCAAUCUGUUCCAGAAACCAGAGUUCCCACAUAACUACAUAAUGUGCUGCUAUCAGGUUACAGGCUCACCACAAUUGCCUAAUGUAACAUUGAGUUCGGGGCGCUGCCGCGGGGAGGUGUAAUUACCAGGGGGAUGGCUCAGGCCGAGUGGUUGCAGUGCUCAGGAAUUAAUGUGCACAACUUAUGGGCAGACCAGUGCUCCACCUCAAUCUUCAAACCCUUGGAUAUCCAGGAUUCAACUUCCCAAGGUCCUACCCUCCUCUCCAAGGGGGCAGUGGACGAUGAGCACGUGAAUCUGCAAAGUGUUUUACUGGAUGAUGUCUAUCCACCUCACAAGCUCUACAAUUCUGGAAGUGGCAUUUUACUUCGUUUGAAUUCAAAUCUCUCCACAUUCUUUCUAAGAAUAUACUGACUCCUUUAUGCAUGGAAAACUUGGUUUGGAGUAGGGAGAGGGUAGUUUCCCCAACAAAAAUAUUGGGCAAGUUACUAUGUAUGUAUUAAGUGAAGAGAGGUAAAGGGAUAGAGAAAAAAAAGAGUGGAAAAAGUAGAAUCUCUUUCUCUCUCUCUUUUCUCCCCUCCCGCCCCCCACUGGGCUCUCCCUGUCUCUUCUAUCAAUUUGCAAAAUUACUCAUUGGAAGCUGAACUAUGGAGGUUGGGCCACCUUAAUUGGGUUUCCAAAGAUUGAGUUGAAUUGUGUCUCUUGGUAGCAUAUAGCUUGUUACCAGGGAGGGCCCUUUAAAGAUUGUAAAAUGACAGUUUGUUUUCUCUGCUUUAUCAACCUGACCUCAUAGAUCCAUAAGUCUCCCCAAGCUGCAGGUUCAAAGCUGAGCUAAUGGUCAUGAUUCAUAUUUCAAGGGUACAUGUGUGUGAAGAGGGACCUUCCACCUCCCCCAG